This 972-nucleotide long non-coding RNA is filed under the name Anser brachyrhynchus (Pink-footed goose). Its description in RNAcentral is "lncRNA (ENSABRG00000022872.1)". Lineage: Eukaryota; Metazoa; Chordata; Aves; Anseriformes; Anatidae. The record is from RNAcentral.
CUCAGCUCUGCCUUUCUGAGGGGCAGGACCCCGCUCGUGCAUGCUGAGGGGGAAGGGAGCUGCUGAGCCCCGUCCCGGUGUGCUUUUCUGCAGGGUCCAGCUGGGAUGGAGGGGUCCUCUGGUCCCAAAGGAGACACCGUAAGAGCUUCUCACCCAGCUUGCUUUGGCCUCUGGUGGGGAUGAAACCUGGGCUCGAGAGCUUCCCCUGGAGGCAGCCCCCUUCCAUGGGUGCCGUGCUGCUUUCAGAGGGGCUGUGCCUGCAGCAGACCCCCUGAACGCAGCCGUGGGGGGAACCUGGCUGAUGCUGACGUUCCCCUUGCAGGGUGCAGAGGGGGUCCCUGGCCUCAGGGGACAGCUGGGACAGGAGGGACCUGGGGGGUUUAUUGGCCUGCCGGGUUCAAAAGGCACCCAAGGAGAGAGGGGCUGCCGAGGUCCUGCUGGAGCCAAGGGAGACCUGGGAGCCAAAGGAGACAAGGUACGAGGUUCCCAGGCUGAGGCUUGGAGCCACUUUGUGUCCCUUUGCCUUCUAGAGCUGUGAAAAUCAGCCAGACCGAGCUCUGCAUGCUCACACCGUGCAGCUGCUCCUCAGCCGCCCUUUGUCACCUUUCCUUGGUUUGAUGUCUAAAAUCCUGCCUUGGUUUGGUGUUUAAAAAAAGUCACUGUUCUGGGUCCUCGGGAUGCUCUCGGUGGGGGCUGUGGGGCGGUCACCAAGGGGGGCUGCAGGCUGGCCGUGACGUGCUGCCACCUUGUCUCCCAAGGGUCCUCAUGGAGCACAGGGAGCAACGGGGCCUCCAGGACCGCGGGGUCAAACAGGCUUGCAGGGCUUCCCCGGCCCCCGCGGGGCGGCAGGACCCCGGGGACCCGAGGUAAGGCAGGGUGCUGGGGGGGGUACAGGCAGGUGGCCUGGGAGGGGACAGCCCUGAGGGCUGCAAGGAGUGCGGCCAGCACUACCAGCUGCUGCCACCGCUGCCU